This 594-nucleotide ribosomal RNA is filed under the name Candida albicans. RNAcentral describes it as "eukaryotic LSU rRNA". It matches the Rfam family "Eukaryotic large subunit ribosomal RNA", at positions 39 to 648 of the family's 3401-position model. Lineage: Eukaryota; Fungi; Ascomycota; Pichiomycetes; Serinales; Debaryomycetaceae. The record is from RNAcentral.
CAUAUCAAUAAGCGGAGGAAAAGAAACCAACAGGGAUUGCCUCAGUAGCGGCGAGUGAAGCGGCAAAAGCUCAAAUUUGAAAUCUGGCGUCUUUGGCGUCCGAGUUGUAAUUUGAAGAAGGUAUCUUUGGGCCCGGCUCUUGUCUAUGUUCCUUGGAACAGGACGUCACAGAGGGUGAGAAUCCCGUGCGAUGAGAUGACCCGGGUCUGUGUAAAGUUCCUUCGACGAGUCGAGUUGUUUGGGAAUGCAGCUCUAAGUGGGUGGUAAAUUCCAUCUAAAGCUAAAUAUUGGCGAGAGACCGAUAGCGAACAAGUACAGUGAUGGAAAGAUGAAAAGAACUUUGAAAAGAGAGUGAAAAAGUACGUGAAAUUGUUGAAAGGGAAGGGCUUGAGAUCAGACUUGGUAUUUUGCAUGCUGCUCUCUCGGGGGCGGCCGCUGCGGUUUACCGGGCCAGCAUCGGUUUGGAGCGGCAGGAUAAUGGCGGAGGAAUGUGGCACGGCUUCUGCUGUGUGUUAUAGCCUCUGACGAUACUGCCAGCCUAGACCGAGGACUGCGGUUUUUACCUAGGAUGUUGGCAUAAUGAUCUUAAGUCGC